AUUAACACGGGGAAGGAGCUGCCAAAGCGUUGAUUACAUGUGUCAUCAAGUCAGAAUUCAUUUACACUGACCUCGAUAGGGUUUUUGAGGGAAGUGAAUAAUUUGAAGGAGUGGUUUUACCAGUUCCACACCUUCAGUGAGUUUCCAUGGCAGAGCUGGGGCACUGAACUAUAAAGGGCUAUUGAGUCCUGUUCCAUUAAUCUGUCCACUGCCCCCCCACACACUGGGUCCCUGAUAGGUAAUUAGUUAAUGUAAAUUUGCUAUUGGAUUGUAGUAGACAGUAUUUAGGUUGUUUAUGAAGUGUUGAUACACUGACUUUUGCAUUCACAGGAAGCUGAUUUUGCUGAGGCCAGAGGGUUACUAGAGAAAACAAAAUUUUGGCUACCCUGUUUCCCCGAAAAUAAGCCCUGGCCUGAAAAUAAGCCCUAAUGUGUUUUUUGGAGCAAAAAUUAAUAUAAGACCUAGCUUAUUAAUAUAUACAGUACACUGUGCUAAAUCACGUGGCCCACCUUUGGCUAGAAGUGUUGCAGCCUAUGUACAAGAUUAACAUCUCAAUGAGAAUUAGGCCUAAUUCAAAAGUUAUUAGACGUUAUUGGAGUGGACCAAAGUAAGACCAAGCUUUUAAAGGAGGCAAAGUAAAGCAGUCACGUAGCAAACAAACUCAAGGAUAUGCAGUGAAGCGACUCUAUAUAAGAAUUAUUCAGGGAGCUUGGCUGAGUUUUUUUUAUAGAUGCAUCCUUCACUGUUGGCCCUGCUGGCAAGGCCUUUUAGGAGCUGAAAUUCAAAAUAUAUGAAUGGCUAGAGGUUACCCAGAUAAAGACUCAAAUCCCCAACUCAGUGGCAGUAUGGAACUUGUGAAAACAUUCCUUAAAUGUUCCACUUACCUUGGAAACCCUAUUAGUAUCACUGUAGUCAGUUCCUGCUUUGACGGCACAUAACAGCAUCACCGGUUUCCUGUUCUAUGUAAAGGGAACGAACCUUCAACCUAUGUUUUUUGGGCAUUUUGAUAUGGCCAGCUCAGGAGUAAUACACUAGGAACAUCCUUCUUUUAUUUUCUGUGCCCUUUUUUUUGGUUUAUCUUAACACAAUUAGAUCCUGCGAUUUCCUUAAGAAACAACUUGUUUUGCCGAAAAUAAGGUAAGGUUUAUGUGUCUAAAGAGGUAUUGCUGAAGAACCUUGCUGGGUCUGGAUAAGUCUUUAUAUAUUUCCUAAGUGUCCAGGGAAAUAGAAAGCUUUGCUGACUCAGCAGGACUUUGAAAACCUGUAGUAACUCAAGAGGAUCUGUCUGCCAUUUGGUCAGAGUGUCAGGUUUGUAAUAGUUACACGAAUAGUAGCUUGAAAGAGAUGGCACAAGAAAAGUCACUGUGUGUUACGUCUUUUAACAGGAACACUUUGUCUAUUCCAGGUAUUGUAUUAUAUAAUAACAAUAAUUUUAGAACUGCAGAGCUGGAGGGGACCCCGUGGAUCAUCAAGUCCAGCCCCUGUCAAAGAGGCACAGUGUGAAUUGAACGCCUAACCUCUGGUUCUGCAGCCAAAUAUCUAAGCCGUUGACUUCUUUGCAAAACUUAACAUUAUGUUAUGUCACUUCCUAAUGGCUUAGAUGCAGCUCCUGGCAGUUUUUUAUUGGAACACUGAUUAAAUAGUGGUAUAGAAUCAGGUAUUCUAAAAACAUUUAAAGAAUAUUAAUCUUUAUGCUUUUGUAGGGAGAAAAAGACACUGUUUUUAGGAGACAUCCAUGAAGUAUGGAAUCAGGAUGUGUGAAGAAUCCCAUUCCUUCCAUAUGUCUGCUCAAUGCCACUGUUCACCCCCUUUAGCUCAGUAGGCUCAUCAUAUCUGCUAUUGCAUCACACUGUACCCAGUGUUGUUAGUGGACAGAUUGACAUCCGAGGAGUCGAGACCUGGGCUCAGUUCCCCACUUGGCCAUGGAAACUCACUGUGGGAUUGGGUAUUACUGAUGAAACCACUUCUUAAAAUAUCUCACGUACCUUGGAAAACCUUAUUAGAGUUGCUGCUAAAUUGGUUCUGACACAAUGACAUACAUGUAGCAUCCCAACGGAAGUACACUUUAAAACAGUAUCGAUUUUUUUCCCAGCAAGUUUUUUAAUCUCCAUAAGAUUUUUACUUCAGUAUCUCAUUUGUAUGCUCAUUUGUCUAGUAUAAGCUGUUUUGAACCUUAUCACCUCUUUUAUGAACAAUAUACUGUAAAGGCUGCAAUCUUGUUUCUCAUGUAGUCUUUUAUAUUUUUAUUCUUGUUUUACAUUGAUUUGAAAUUUCUAAAGUGGUUGAUAAAUAUUCUUAAAUAAACAAGCAGUAUAUAUGUUGAAAAUAAUCUUAUUUUUUCUACUACAGGAAGGAUGAGAUGAUUCUAUUGUUUAUGUGGUCCUCAAAGUUCCCCGUCUGCUUCUGAAAAAAGCUUCACCCAUCUUCCCUCUUUUGUAGCAUCAUAACUAAAAACAACCUUCCCCCACCCACCAGAAGGAAGAAGAUUCCCUUCUCUGAUUUCUCUCCCUCACACAACCAAGACAGAAAUGUUCCCUGUCAGUAGCAGAAUAUACCUUGGCCCCAAUUUCCUGCAGUAUUCCCCACCCCAGAAGAUGGGAGAAUAUGAAUCCUUAUAGAUGGCAUCUGUCCAGAUGGCAUUCAGCUCUUAAGUCUGCUUCAGCCAGAGAUCAAGCUCAAGGAGACGAAUGGGGGAUGUGUUUUUUACUCAUAAGAUGCUGUUGAACUGCAACACUGAACAUUACUCACUGUUGGCUAGGAUUAAACAGCACUGCAGUUCAACAGCAUCUAGAGAACCACACAUGCUCCACAUGAGUUCAAAGGCUGCAUUUAGGCAGUAGUUUCUCAACUUCUUGUGAAAUUUAAGAACUGAACUAUAAUUGCAAGAAAUAGUAGUUACAUUAUCCACAACUCGUGAGUCUGUCACCUGGAACAAACUAGUGAUGGGCCAACAAUGUCUUUGUGGCUGGCACGUGCAAACAGCUCCAGUGCUCCCAAAAUCUUUUUAUGUAGAAGUUGCCUAAGUGAAGAUGGGUAACUGGAGGCUCCUAUCCUUGAGAUGUGACUUUUUCCAUAUGGGGAAUGAACACAGAUGGGCGAGGGCCCAGCUCAUUACACAGCAGCAACCCAAAGGCAGUAAAUGGGGUGGGGGAAUGAAAAGGUGGCUUAGUAACUGUGAACAAGUGCAAAAAUCAUUUGCUGUCAGGCGGUGUAGCAAAGUUGCUGCAACUGGCAAAAAACAACAACAAAACAGAACAGCCUUGGGAAAGAACAGGAAGACCUUCAUUAUUGCUGCUGCUGAGAUAAAGAUUUGUCUCAAUUCUUCUCUUGUCCCCUCAAAACUGACACCCCGUUCUGUCACUUUCUGUAGCCUGAGAACAGGCCUAUGAGUUUGGGAAACUAUUUCUAAUGCUACACUAAUAUAGAAUACUGACAAAGAACAGAGAUGGUCGGCUCUCCUAGUGCAGUGGAUCUCCUGCAUUGGCAGCAGAUUGGACUAGAUAAGCUUGGUUAUCUUCCACAUCUAUGCCAUCAAAACUGUUCAGUCCCUUUAAAAGCAUUAAAAAUCCUCACACCCAGUGAUAUGGAAGCCCUUCCUCUUUAUAGCAAAUGCAGUCAGCUAUGUAUUACUGACUCCUGUGUCUUUGCAAGAGCCAUUUGAUGUCCAACUUUUCUCCUGCUUUGAGGAGCUUACAUUUACAGCUCAUGGCCAGCAAAAGUCAUCAAGCCCUGUGGCUCAGCUGGAGUGGAACAGGCUCUGUGCAGAGAGCACUGCAGAGUAGGGGGCAAUCCAUGCUCCUCAGUGAGGGGGUGUGCCUAUGAACCUGUUGUCAAGGAAAAUUACAGGCCUGAGCAGAAUGGAGUGUAUUAAUGAGAAUCCAUAAUGAUCAGGUAUG
Pogona vitticeps (central bearded dragon) is the source of this 3896-nucleotide non-coding RNA. The record is from RefSeq and is a predicted model, not a curated record. Lineage: Eukaryota; Metazoa; Chordata; Lepidosauria; Squamata; Agamidae.